UACGUAGGGGGCUAGCGUUGUCCGGAAUCAUUGGGCGUAAAGCGCGUGUAGGCGGUCCGGUAAGUCCGCUGUGAAAGUCGGGGGGCUCAACCCUCGGAUGCCGGUGGAUACUGUCGGGCUUGAGUACGGAAGAGGCGAGUGGAAUUCCUGGUGUAGCGGUGAAAUGCGCAGAUAUCAAGGAGGAACACCAAUUGCGAAGGCAGCUCGCUGGGACGUUACUGACGCUGAGACGCGAAAGCGUGGGGAGCAAACAGG
This 255-nucleotide ribosomal RNA is filed under the name uncultured bacterium. RNAcentral describes it as "partial 16S ribosomal RNA". It matches the Rfam family "Bacterial small subunit ribosomal RNA", at positions 524 to 776 of the family's 1533-position model. The record is from RNAcentral.